RNAcentral lists this ribosomal RNA (305 nucleotides) under uncultured bacterium. RNAcentral describes it as "bacterial SSU rRNA". It matches the Rfam family "Bacterial small subunit ribosomal RNA", at positions 334 to 633 of the family's 1533-position model. The record is from RNAcentral.
GUCCCUACGAGGGGCAGCAGUAGGGAAUCUUCCACAAUGGACGAAAGUCUGACCGAGCAACGCCGCGUGAAGGAAGAAGGAAUUCGUUCUGUAAACUUCUGUUAUAAAGGAAGAAAGACGGAUGGAGGAAAUGACAUCCGAGUGACGGUACUUUAUGAGAAAGCCACGGCUAACUACGUGCCAGCAGCCGCGGUAAUACGUAGGUGGCAAGCGUUAUCCGGAAUUAUUGGGCGUAAAGAGGGAGCAGGCGGCAGCAAAGGUCUGUGGUGAAAGACUGAAGCUUAACUUCAGUAAGCCAUAGAAAA